GACGAACGCUGGCGGCGUGCUUAACACAUGCAAGUCGAACGGAAAGGCCCUGCUUUUGUGGGGUGCCCGAGUGGCGAACGGGUGAGUAACACGUGAGUAACCUGCCCUUGACUUUGGGAUAACUUCAGGUAACUGGGGCUAAUACCGGAUAGGAGCUCCUGCUGCAUGGUGGGGGUUGGAAAGUUUCGGCGGUUGGGGAUGGACUCGCGGCUUAUCAGCUUGUUGGUGGGGUAGUGGCUUACCAAGGCUUUGACGGGUAGCCGGCCUGAGAGGGUGACCGGCCACAUUGGGACUGAGAUACGGCCCAGACUCCUACGGGAGGCAGCAGUGGGGAAUAUUGCACAAUGGGCGGAAGCCUGAUGCAGCAACGCCGCGUGCGGGAUGACGGCCUUCGGGUUGUAAACCGCUUUCGCCUGUGACGAAGCGUGAGUGACGGUAAUGGGUAAAGAAGCACCGGCUAACUACGUG
Molecule: ribosomal RNA, 468 nt
Filed under: uncultured bacterium
Lineage: Bacteria
Description: partial 16S ribosomal RNA
Rfam family: Bacterial small subunit ribosomal RNA
Source: RNAcentral